This 209-nucleotide long non-coding RNA is filed under the name Olea europaea (common olive). RNAcentral's name for it is "long non-coding RNA (OEUR_LNC015522)". The record is from RNAcentral. Lineage: Eukaryota; Viridiplantae; Streptophyta; Magnoliopsida; Lamiales; Oleaceae.
ACGUGCCACUUCAUCCAAGGGUCUCCAUUCCAUAUGUAUCACUAUAAAUACCCCCAUUGUAUAAUGUCAAAAGGCUAAUGCAAGAAUCAAUACUAAAGACUACAUUUACUCAACUCUCUCAGUUACUUGCAAUACAUAAAUCGAAUUUAUACACUUUCACAUAUACAUUUGCGAGCACCGGUUGGUAAUUAUUGUACAAUCGGAUUACG